AGGAGGCGAGAGCGCGCGCGCUGGGGAGGGUGGGAAAAACGGACCUGCGUGGGGCAGGGCCUACCGGAUGAUUGGCACCGAGUGCUGGGUUAGCCUCCCGACUCCUGCUAGGCUCCCUCGGUGCUGAGUGAACGAGCGCCACGUGGCUCUUGGCCACUUCUGGCUAGCCUGGUUGUCCCCAAGCUGCAAGGUGAUGAAUCCCAUGGAGUGACGACAUUCUAUUCCUCAAGAUCCGACCUUCUCACAUUCUGCCUCUCUUCCAUCAGACUGUUCAAACAAUGGACUGGAAGAAAUUGCAGUUUCCCCAGGACUCUCAUUCUGGAAGAAGAGAAAGAUUAAAGCCUGGACCAGCCAGAGAGGAAACUUAUCUCCUGGAACUUUUAAACCACUGUGCCAAAAACACUCCAGUCCUCCACUUACACUGUAACCUUGGGUCAGGACCCUGAAGAUGCACUUGGAAAGUUACUGGGCCUCUCUGUCUCUGUUCCUACUGUGCUCAUAUUAAAUUAAUUUCCCUCUUC
Molecule: long non-coding RNA, 521 nt
Filed under: Mus musculus (house mouse)
Lineage: Eukaryota; Metazoa; Chordata; Mammalia; Rodentia; Muridae
Description: predicted gene, 16677 (Gm16677)
Source: RNAcentral